This 253-nucleotide ribosomal RNA is filed under the name uncultured bacterium. RNAcentral's name for it is "partial 16S ribosomal RNA". It matches the Rfam family "Bacterial small subunit ribosomal RNA", at positions 524 to 776 of the family's 1533-position model. The record is from RNAcentral.
UACGUAGGGACCGAGCGUUGUCCGGAUUCAUUGGGCGUAAAGAGCUCGUAGGCGGCCGCUCAAGUCGAAUGUGAAACCUCGAGGCUCAACCUCGAGCCUGCAUUCGAUACUGGGCGGCUAGAGUCUGGUAGGGGGAUCUGGAAUUCCUGGUGUAGCGGUGGAAUGCGUAGAUAUCGAGAGGAACACCUGCGGCGAAGGCGGGUAGCUGGGCCGACACUGACGCUGAGGCGCGAAAGCCAGGGGAGCGAACGGG